CUACGGGCGGCUGCAGUGGGGAAUAUUGCACAAUGGGGGAAACCCUGAUGCAGCAACGCCGCGUGGAGGAUGACGCAUUUCGGUGUGUAAACUCCUUUUAUAUAGGAAGAUAAUGACGGUACUAUAUGAAUAAGCACCGGCUAACUCCGUGCCAGCAGCCACGGUAAUACGGAGGGUGCAAGCGUUACUCGGAAUCACUGGGCGUAAAGCGCGCGCAGGCGGCCUUUUAAGUUGGAUGUGAAAGCCUAUGGCUUAACCAUAGAACUGCAUCCAAAACUAUCAGGCUAGGAGUCUGGGAGGGGAAGAUGGAAUUAGUUGUGUAGGGGUAAAAUCCGUAGAGAUAACUAGGAAUACCAAAAGCGAAGGCGAUCUUCUGGAACAGUACUGACGCUGAGGCGCGAAAGCGUGGGGAGCAAACAGGAUUAGAUACCCUUGUAGUC
RNAcentral lists this ribosomal RNA (440 nucleotides) under uncultured bacterium. RNAcentral's name for it is "partial 16S ribosomal RNA". It matches the Rfam family "Bacterial small subunit ribosomal RNA", at positions 339 to 795 of the family's 1533-position model. The record is from RNAcentral.